AUGAAAGUCAUGUUGUAGGAGUCCUUAUAGCUGCUUAUGGGAGGACAGAAGCAGAGAAUACCACAUCUUUUUAACACCAGAAGAGAAAGAACAUGGAGAGUUUCAGGAGAACUGAGUGUGAGAGCAGUGUUUCACUGAAAGACCUGGCAGGAAUCCAGGAAUAAAAAAAUAAUCAGCUGUUUAAGUUUUAGCUGCCAUGGUUGAAUUCUUAUAUUAGAAAAUAUAAGGUCUAUCAUAAUCCAUGUGCAGGCUGAUGAAUUUGAUUGUGUGAGAUUCUUCACUGACCCAAAACAGAUGAACAGGGAAGAGAUAGUACAAUCUGUGAUGGUACUGUGCUGCAGAAGCAGACUAGAAAACCAAGGGGAGGAAAAGUUCCUGCAUACUGGUGCAAGAGGAGAAGACAAAGAUUUGCCUCAUGCGGCUUUGUUGUGACUUAAAGUGGUGUCUGUAGUGGGAAGAGGAGCUGCUGUAUCCCAAGUGGAAUCCCUGAUGCUGCCUCUACUAUCCACUGAAGGACUCAUCAUUGUGUGAAUAUUCCAUGAGUGGAUGAAUAACACUUUGGCACCUCUUCACACUUCCCAUCAUCAGAAAGGUGAUGCUGGGGAAAGAAUAACCAUUGCAUUUUUAUUCUAGAAAAGCAUAACAUAGAGAAGGACGUGCUCUCUCUACUGUUUCUUUGAACACUUCUGUCAGCACUAGUCUCCCUGCAAUCCCUUUCUUUUCCUUAGUACGAGGGAGUGGCUAUCAAGAAGAUGUGCUCCAUGACUCUGGGUGGUACUUAGUACGAGUCAAUGAACAUUGAAUUUUCACAGCAAAGUAAUUCAACUUGCUCUCAUUGCACAGCUCUGUAGAGGCCAGGCUUCAACCAUUCUCUUCAGUGUGGGCACUAUGUCAUUUCUCUGGUUACCAUUGAAUCUCCAAGUUUCUGUCACUUGCUUUUUCUUCUUGCAGUAACCUAAGGAACGAAUGCUGUUGAUCAACAAGCAGGUAGCUUAAAUAUUAAGAGAAAUGUAGUACAGGUAUGCCAGGGUGCGGGGACUUCAGUCUGAAAUACCUUCCAUAAAUAAAAGAUCAUAUGAUUAUUGUACUUUCCCA
RNAcentral lists this long non-coding RNA (1095 nucleotides) under Anas platyrhynchos platyrhynchos (common mallard). RNAcentral describes it as "lncRNA (ENSAPLG00000021736.1)". Lineage: Eukaryota; Metazoa; Chordata; Aves; Anseriformes; Anatidae. The record is from RNAcentral.